Molecule: ribosomal RNA, 333 nt
Filed under: uncultured bacterium
Lineage: Bacteria
Description: bacterial SSU rRNA
Rfam family: Bacterial small subunit ribosomal RNA
Source: RNAcentral
GACGAACGCUGGCGUCGUGCUUAACACAUGCAAGUCGAGCGGUAAGGCCCUUUCGGGGGUACGACGAGCGGCGAACGGGUGAGUAACACGUGGGUGACCUGCCCUCAGCUCUGGGAUAAGCCCGGGAAACUGGGUCUAAUACUGGAUAUGACUCCAUGACGCAUGUUGUGGGGUGGAAAGCCUUGUGCGGCUGAGGAUGGGCCCGCGGCCUAUCAGCUUGUUGGUGGGGNGAUGGCCUACCAAGGCGACGACGGGUAGCCGGCCUGAGAGGGCGACCGGCCACACUGGGACUGAGACACGGCCCAGACUCCUACGGGAGGCAGCAGUGGGGAA